This 346-nucleotide ribosomal RNA is filed under the name uncultured bacterium. RNAcentral describes it as "bacterial SSU rRNA". It matches the Rfam family "Bacterial small subunit ribosomal RNA", at positions 917 to 1264 of the family's 1533-position model. The record is from RNAcentral.
GGGCCCGCACAAGCGGUGGAGUAUGUGGUUUAAUUCGAUGCAACGCGAAGAACCUUACCAGGGUUUGACAUCCUGCGAAUCUCUUGGAAACAGGAGAGUGCCUUCGGGAACGCAGUGACAGGUGGUGCAUGGCUGUCGUCAGCUCGUGUCGUGAGAUGUUGGGUUAAGUCCCGCAACGAGCGCAACCCACGUCUUUAGUUGCCAGCAUUUAGUUGGGCACUCUAGAGAGACUGCCGGUGAUAAACCGGAGGAAGGUGUGGAUGACGUCAAGUCAUCAUGCCCCUUACAUCCUGGGCUACACACGUACUACAAUGCUACGGACAAAGGGCAGCAAGUUCGCGAGGAC